Long non-coding RNA from Hibiscus syriacus, 397 nucleotides. RefSeq lists it as uncharacterized. The transcript has 4 exons. The record is from RefSeq and is a predicted model, not a curated record. Lineage: Eukaryota; Viridiplantae; Streptophyta; Magnoliopsida; Malvales; Malvaceae.
CCCACCUUCUAGUGUUAUCUGCUUCUCAAAGCCAACUAUUCCAAUCAGAGUACGAAGAUUAUGUUGCUGCAACUAGCAGUAGCCUUGCCUGUCUUCGCUUGGUUGCUCCUAUUUUGCUUAUCAUCUUGCUCUUACGCCAAGUCCUUAUGUUGACAAGAGAUUCUGGCAUGAUCCAGGAGUCAUCAACUUUGAUUAACUUUCAGGUUUUGCUUCUCAAAUUUGAUGGCUUUCUUCUUCCAUGCUAUGUGGCGGCUCGCACGUGGUAUUUACAAAGUCGAAGGAGGAGACAGGGUUAAAGCAGCAGCAGGCAAGGAUGUUGGGUUGCUUGACAAGCAUGUUGUUUGGUUUUUGUAAAUUGCAAAAGGCAAUUUCCCAAGUUGUAAUGAAUGAAAUAGUG